RNAcentral lists this long non-coding RNA (3000 nucleotides) under Monodelphis domestica (gray short-tailed opossum). RNAcentral's name for it is "lncRNA (ENSMODG00000002995.4)". The record is from RNAcentral. Lineage: Eukaryota; Metazoa; Chordata; Mammalia; Didelphimorphia; Didelphidae.
CAAAGCCUCAGAAUUAUUAAGUUAAGGGAAUGAGAUUUGAACCCAGGUUCUAUUGAAUCCAAAGUCCACUAUCUGGCAGAGGAACUCUCUCUCACCUCAAUUUAAUCCAUUUCAUGCACAAGUCAAGAAAUCACCUAAUGAUGUAAUUGGUUCUCUUUGAAAAAGAAAACAGCAACAAUCUACAUUACACUUUCUUCUAAGACAUUUCGACACACUAACACUGUCAGGCAGAAGGUGUUGGAUACUGUUGGCUUCAUUUUCAAUUAAGGAAACUGAAAAUCAAAGUAGUUAGGCCAUUUUGAAGUGGUAAAUAUGGGACUGGAACUCAAAUAUCUUUACUGAAUACAUUAUCUUUCCAUUUAUUCCUGUGAAUGAAAAAUUAUUUGGGCAAAGAAAAAUGGAUCUGAAAAGCAAAGGAGCUCAGAACUUUGGGAACACAAAUCAUCAGGGGAGGGGAAACUGUUCCAAUGGAACCUUGAAAGAGGCAGUUAGGAAACUCCAGCUGCCUGAGACUUCAUCUUCUUGACUGUUUCUACCUGAGGGUGGAAGACCCCUCUGUCUCCUCUCUGGCCAUUGCCUUCUACCUACUCUGUCAUACAAGUAAAACAUACGAUGAAUAUUAGCUUAACAUCAUGUAGACCUUUGUGUCUGGCAGCAGAAGGUUCUGCCUUAGAAGAAAGCACUUUCCUCAUUGGUAGAGAUAUUGAAACAGGAACUGCAUAACCACGUGUCAAGAUUCAUUAGAACAGGAGAUAAAUUCAUUAAACAAGUGGAUGGAGUGAAGUCUGGCUUCUCUAGCUGAGAUCAGAUAAUUCUAGUAAGCUCAUCUCUUAAUGACCGGGACCAAAGCCUUUUCCUGAGCACUGAUGAGGGGGCCACCUUUCAGAAACAACUCAUCACAUUCUUUGUUGAAACUCUGAUUUUCCAUCCCAAAGAAGAGGAUAAAGUGGUUGCCUACACUAAGGAGAGCAAGGUUUACUUAUCGACUGACUUAGGAAAGAAAUGGACCCUUCUUCAAGAACGAGUGACUAAGGACCAUUCUCAGAAUUGCUCUGAUAGAACACCCACGAUUCCAUUUGCCAGCAGCAUUGACCACAAUUCCCUGACUGUGCAGGACGACUACAUAUUCUUUAAGGUAAAUAUUAUCAGCACUGAUGAAAAUGAGGUAUUUGUGGCUGUCCAAGAAUGGUACCAAAUGGACACGUACAACCUUUACCAGUCAGACCCACAGGGCGUGUACUAUUCAAUUGUGCUUGAGAACGUUAGGAGCACGAAGCAACCAGAAGAAAACGUCCUGAUCGAUAUCCUGGAGGUCAGAGGUGUCAAAGGAGUCUUCCUGGCCAACCAAAAGAUUGAUGGAAAGGUCACAACACUGAUAACCUACAACAAAGGCCGUGACUGGGAUUAUCUGACGCCACCUGCCACUGACAUGAAUGGCAAACCCACCAACUGCAAACCUCCUGACUGCCAUCUUCACCUUCAUCUCCGAUGGGCAGACAAUCCAUACGUGUCAGGCACUGUCCAUACCAAGGACACAGCACCUGGUCUGAUCAUGGGAGCAGGUAACCUGGGCUCUCAGCUGGUGGAAUACAAAGAGGAAAUGUACAUCACAUCUGACUGUGGAAAUACUUGGCGUCAGGUCUUCGAAGAGGAACAUCACAUUCUGUACCUGGAUCAUGGUGGAGUGAUUGUGGCUAUCAAAGACACAUCCAUCCCUUUGAAAAUACUCAAGUUCAGCAUUGAUGAAGGUCACACCUGGAGCACACAUAAUUUCACAAGCACCUCAGUCUUCGUGGAUGGACUGCUAAGUGAGCCCGGGGAUGAGACUCUGGUCAUGACGGUCUUUGGUCACAUAAGUUUCCGUUCAGAUUGGGAACUGGUGAAGGUGGACUUCAGACCCUCUUUUCCCAGGCAGUGUACUGAGGAUGAUUAUGACUACUGGAACCUCACCAACUUACAGGGUAAUCGCUGUAUCAUGGGACAACAGAGGAGUUUCCGGAAAAGGAAGACCACAUCAUGGUGUAUCAAGGGGCAAAGCUUCACAUCAGUACUCACAUCUAGUGUGUGCAAAUGUUCAAGCUCAGAUUUUUUUUGUGAUUAUGGAUUUGAAAGAUCAGCAACUUCAAAAUCAGAAGCCAAAAAGUGUUUUGCGAAUUUCUGGUUUAAUCCUGACUCACCUCCUGAAGAUUGUGUGUUGGGGCAGGCAUAUACUAGCAGCCCAGGGUACCGGAAAGUGGUAUCUAAUGUCUGUGAAGGUGGUGUGGACCUGCAGCGGUACGUGCUUCAGCAUCAGUGCCCCCUGACAGCCCCCAGAGGGCUGCAAGUCAGCAUCAAAGGAGAGACUGUGGCCGGUGAUGUUCUAAAUACAAAGUACCUGGUGGAUCUUGGCGAUGGCUUUAAGGCUGUCUAUGUGAACCUCACUGUGACAGGGGAACCUAUCCGACACCGCUAUGAGAAUCCAGGAAUCUACCGGGUCUAUGUCAAAGCAGAAAAUGCUGCUGGGCAUGAGGAAGCUGUGCUGUUUGUUCAAGUGAAUUCUCCUCUACGGGCGCUACACCUGGAAGUAGUUCCUGUUAUUGGAGUAAACCAGGAAGUCAACCUCACUGCCAUUCUGCUGCCCAAGAACCCCAAUCUAACUGUCUUCUACUGGUGGAUAGGAAAUAACUUGCAGGUAUAUCAAUUUCAAGUCCUGCCUCUGAAGUUUACUAAGCACUUGGAUAUAUACAAUCCCAACAUCCCUGAAUGGCGAGAAGACAUUGGCCUGGUCGUCACCCGCCUCCUUUCUGAGGAAACCAAUAUCCCUGAGGAAUCUCUGCUGACUGUGGUGAAACCAGGCCUGCCCACAACUGCUGACUUGCAUGUGCUCCUGCCAGCACCUAAACCAAAGAGGAAGAGGAGCAUACCAAGUGACAAGGUAAGUCAACCCUCUUAUAUAUUUUGAAUAUGUACAUAGAUAGCCUAGCAAAAAAUAAAUGUGGAAAUCAUAUUGUUUGGGGAUCA